AGUGAACGCUGGCGGUAGGCCUAACACAUGCCAGUCGAACGGCAGCACAGUAAGAGCUUGCUCUUACGGGUGGCGAGUGGCGGACGGGGGAGGAAUACAUCGGAAUCUACUUUUUCGUGGGGGAUAACGUAGGGAAACUUACGCUAAUACCGCAUACGACCUACGGGUGAAAGCAAGGGAUCUUCGGACCUUGCGCGAUUGAAUGAGCCGAUGUCGGAUUAGCUAGUUGGCGGGGUAAAGGCCCACCAAGGCGACGAUCCGUAGCUGGUCUGAGAGGAUGAUCAGCCACACUGGAACUGAGACACGGUCCAGACUCCUACGGGAGGCAGCAGUGGGGAAUAUUGGACAAUGGGCGCAAGCCUGAUCCAGCCAUACCGCGUGGGUGAAGAAGGCCUUCGGGUUGUAAAGCCCUUUUGUUGGGAAAGAAAAGCAGCAGGUUAAUACCCCGCUGUUCUGACGGUACCCAAAGAAUAAGCACCGGCUAGCUUCGUG
Molecule: ribosomal RNA, 492 nt
Filed under: uncultured bacterium
Lineage: Bacteria
Description: partial 16S ribosomal RNA
Rfam family: Bacterial small subunit ribosomal RNA
Source: RNAcentral